ACAACAGCAGCCACUUCAAGUCACUGGCCACGGGCGGGAACGUGAGCCAGGCCCUGGCUUUGGUUGGAGAGAAGGCUUGCUACCAAUCCAUCAGUAGCUAUGGAGGACAGAUCUUCUAUCUGGGGACAAAGUCCGUUUACGUGAUGAUGCUGAGAAGCUGGAGGGAGGUGAGUGUUUACGGGGAUGGUCGGCAUGGGGACUGAAGUGGCAGGGCCCUCACGUUUCCUUGACUCUGCAGAUCUUAACCUCAGAAGAAUACUUAAACGCCAUUUCAGCUGUUAGGUACUUGAUUUGCUAAAACUGAUCAUAUCAGAAUCGGGUUUAGUGCUGCUGUACUAUCCUGCUAUCAGAACAUGGCGUGAGGAAGAUGUGCUAUUAAUCAGUGACAUUUGGAAGGGGUGGCUUUGUUUGUAUAGUAGUGCCCUAUUUACAAGUGAUAAUCUGUCAUUUUAAGUUGCAAAAUUAGUG
Molecule: long non-coding RNA, 468 nt
Filed under: Rattus norvegicus (Norway rat)
Lineage: Eukaryota; Metazoa; Chordata; Mammalia; Rodentia; Muridae
Description: long non-coding RNA NONRATT007143
Source: RNAcentral